AAAGUGUAGCAAUACAUGAGUAAAGCGGCGAACUGGUGAGUAACAGGUGGGUAACGUGCCCUGAAGUGGGGGAUAACACCGGGAAACCGGUGCUAAUACCGCAUGUGGUGUCAAAGACCUUGGUUUUUGCCAUUAAAGCAGUAAUGCGCUUCAGGAUCGGCCCGUCCCCGAUUAGCUUGUUGGUGAGGUAAUGGCUCACCAAGGCACCGAUCGGUAGCUGGUCUGAGAGGAUGGUCAGCCACACUGGAACUGAGAUACGGUCCAGACUCCUACGGGGGGCAGCAGUCUAGAGGCUUCGUCAAUGGGGGCAACCCUGAACGAGCGACGCCGCGUGUGGGAUUGAAGGCCUUCGGGUCGUAAACCACUGUCGAGUGGGAAGAAUGCCCCUAUGGCGAAUAGGGGAGCGACGGUACCACUAUAGGAAGCCCCGGCUAACUCCGUGCCAGCAGCCGCGGUAAUACGGAGGGGGCAAGCGUUGUUCGGAUUUACUGGGCGUAAAGGGUGUGUAGGCGGCUGGAUAAGUCUGGCGUGAAAUCUUCACCGCUUAACGGGAAGGGGUCGCUGGAAACUGUUCAGCUUGAGUAUGGUAGAGGCAAGCGGAAUUCCUGGUGUAGCGGUGGAAUGUGUAGAUAUCAGGAAGAACACCGGUGGCGAAGGCGGCUUGCUGGGCCAUCACUGACGCUGAGACACGAAAGCGUGGGGAGCAAACGGGAUUAGAUACCCCGGUAGUCCACGCUGUAAACGGUGCGCACUAGGUGUGGGGGGUAUCGACUCCUCCCGUGCCGACGUUAACACAUUAAGUGCGCCGCCUGGGGAGUAC
This 820-nucleotide ribosomal RNA is filed under the name uncultured Actinomycetes bacterium. Its description in RNAcentral is "bacterial SSU rRNA". It matches the Rfam family "Bacterial small subunit ribosomal RNA", at positions 71 to 883 of the family's 1533-position model. Lineage: Bacteria; Bacillati; Actinomycetota; Actinomycetes. The record is from RNAcentral.